This 450-nucleotide ribosomal RNA is filed under the name uncultured Glomus. Its description in RNAcentral is "SSU rRNA". It matches the Rfam family "Eukaryotic small subunit ribosomal RNA", at positions 569 to 1025 of the family's 1831-position model. Lineage: Eukaryota; Fungi; Glomeromycota; Glomeromycetes; Glomerales; Glomeraceae. The record is from RNAcentral. RNAcentral also lists the same sequence under 1 other name.
AGCAGCCGCGGUAAUUCCAGCUCCAAUAGCGUAUAUUAAAGUUGUUGCAGUUAAAAAGCUCGUAGUUGAAUUUCGGGAUCAAUAUGUUGGUCGUGCCUCGGUACGUACUAGCUUAUUGGUUUCUCCUUUCUGAAGAACCAUGAUGUCAUUUAUUUGGUGUCGUGGGGAAUCAGGACUGUUACUUUGAAAAAAUUAGAGUGUUUAAAGCAGGCUCACGCUUGAAUACAUUAGCAUGGAAUAAUGAAAUAGGACGUUUGAUUCUAUUUUGUUGGUUUCUAGGAUCGACGUAAUGAUUAAUAGGGAUAGUUGGGGGCAUUAGUAUUCAAUUGUCAGAGGUGAAAUUCUUGGAUUUAUUGAAGACUAACUACUGCGAAAGCAUUUGCCAAGGAUGUUUUCAUUAAUCAAGAACGAAAGUUAGGGGAUCGAAGACGAUCAGAUACCGUCGUAGUC